This 460-nucleotide ribosomal RNA is filed under the name uncultured bacterium. RNAcentral describes it as "partial 16S ribosomal RNA". It matches the Rfam family "Bacterial small subunit ribosomal RNA", at positions 338 to 795 of the family's 1533-position model. The record is from RNAcentral.
CCUACGGGAGGCAGCAGUGAGGAAUAUUGGUCAAUGGGCGGAAGCCUGAACCAGCCAAGUAGCGUGCAGGAUGACGGCCCUACGGGUUGUAAACUGCGUUUAUACGGGAAUAACGCGCCUUACGUGUAGGGCUUUGCAUGUACCGUAUGAAUAAGGGCCGGCUAAUUCCGUGCCAGCAGCCGCGGUAAUACGGAAGGUCCGGGCGUUAUCCGGAUUUAUUGGGUUUAAAGGGAGCGUAGGCGGCAUGUCAAGCGUACGGUGAAAUGUCCGGGCUCAACCCGGGCCUUGCAGCGCGAACUGGCGUGCUGGAGUCCGCGGAAGGAAGGCGGAAUUCGUGGUGUAGCGGUGAAAUGCUUAGAUAUGACGAAGAACACCGAUUGCGAAGGCAGCUUGCUGCAGCGGAACUGACGCUGAUGAUCGAAAGCGCGGGUAUCGAACAGGAUUAGAUACCCUAGUAGUC